This 667-nucleotide ribosomal RNA is filed under the name Umbelopsis fusiformis. Its description in RNAcentral is "eukaryotic LSU rRNA". It matches the Rfam family "Eukaryotic large subunit ribosomal RNA", at positions 66 to 656 of the family's 3401-position model. Lineage: Eukaryota; Fungi; Mucoromycota; Umbelopsidomycetes; Umbelopsidales; Umbelopsidaceae. The record is from RNAcentral.
UACCAAGGAUUCCCUCAGUACCGGCGAGUGAAGCGGGAAGAGCUCAAAUUUAAAAUCUGGCUUGCUUGCAAGUCCGAGUUGUAGUCUGAAGAAGCGUUUUCCAUAAGCACUGAGGCACAAGUCCCUUGGAACAGGGCAUCAUAGAGGGUGAGAAUCCCGUCCAUGGUCUCAAGUCGCUUAUUUUGUGAUACGCUUUCAAAGAGUCAGGUUGUUUGGGAAUGCAGCCUAAAAUGGGUGGUAAAUUUCAUCUAAAGCUAAAUAUUGGCGAGAGACCGAUAGCGAACAAGUACCGUGAGGGAAAGAUGAAAAGAACUUUGAAAAGAGAGUUAAACAGUACGUGAAAUUGUUGAAAGGGAACCGUUUGAAGCCAGUCUUACUUGCCUGUGAUCAGUUUGUACCUCGGUAUGAAUGCACUCUUGGGUAUGGUAGGCCAACGACAGUUUGGAGUGCGAGAAAAAAACUUGGGAAAUGUGGCCUUCGGGUGUUAUAGUCCCUUGUAAAAUAUCGUGUUCCGGACUGAGGAUCGCAGUAAAAAUGUGGGCAGGUAGAUUUCUGUGGCGAAUGUUUAUUAGGACAACUUGUUGACCUAGUUUGCACGAACUUCACUGGUUGCCUCGCUUCUAAUUUGCUUAGUCGUUGGCAUAAUGGCUUUAAAUGACCCGUCUUG